GAUGAACGCUAGCUACAGGCUUAACACAUGCAAGUCGAGGGGAAACGCCGUCGAAAGCUUGCUUUUGAUGGGCGUCGACCGGCGCACGGGUGAGUAACGCGUAUCCAACCUGCCCAUCACUUGGGAAUAACCUUGCGAAAGUAAGACUAAUACCCAAUGAUAUCCCACGAAGGCAUCGGAAUGGGAUUAAAGAUUUAUCGGUGAUGGAUGGGGAUGCGUCUGAUUAGCUUGUUGGCGGGGUAACGGCCCACCAAGGCAACGAUCAGUAGGGGUUCUGAGAGGAAGGUCCCCCACAUUGGAACUGAGACACGGGCCAAACUCCUACGGGAGGCAGCAGUGAGGAAUAUUGGUCAAUGGGCGAGAGCCUGAACCAGCCAAGUAGCGUGCAGGAAGACGGCCCUAUGGGUGGUAAACUGCUUUUAUAAGGGAAUAAAGUGGGUCACGUGUGACUUUUUGCAUGUACCUUAUGAAUAAGGACCGGCUAAUUCCGUG
Molecule: ribosomal RNA, 492 nt
Filed under: uncultured bacterium
Lineage: Bacteria
Description: partial 16S ribosomal RNA
Rfam family: Bacterial small subunit ribosomal RNA
Source: RNAcentral